AUACGUAGGGUGCGAGCGUUGUCCGGAAUUACUGGGCGUAAAGAGCUCGUAGGUGGUUUGUCGCGUCGUCUGUGAAAUUCCGGGGCUUAACUCCGGGCGUGCAGGCGAUACGGGCAUAACUUGAGUACUGUAGGGGAGACUGGAAUUCCUGGUGUAGCGGUGAAAUGCGCAGAUAUCAGGAGGAACACCGGUGGCGAAGGCGGGUCUCUGGGCAGUAACUGGCGCUGAGGAGCAAAAGCAUGGGGAGGGAACAGGAUUAGAUACCCUGGUAGUCCAUGCCGUAAACGGUGGGCGCUAGGGGGAGGGGGCUUCCACGACUUCUGUGCCGUAGCUAACGCAUUAAGCGCCCCGCCUGGGGAGUACGGCCGCAAGGCUAAAACUCAAAGGAAUUGACGGGG
RNAcentral lists this ribosomal RNA (398 nucleotides) under uncultured bacterium. RNAcentral's name for it is "partial 16S ribosomal RNA". It matches the Rfam family "Bacterial small subunit ribosomal RNA", at positions 523 to 918 of the family's 1533-position model. The record is from RNAcentral.